Molecule: ribosomal RNA, 445 nt
Filed under: uncultured Acidobacteriota bacterium
Lineage: Bacteria; Pseudomonadati; Acidobacteriota
Description: bacterial SSU rRNA
Rfam family: Bacterial small subunit ribosomal RNA
Source: RNAcentral
AGAGUUUGAUCAUGGCUCAGAAUCAACGCUGGCGGCGUGCCUAACACAUGCAAGUCGAACGCGAAAGCCCCGCAAGGGGUAAGUAGAGUGGCAAACGGGUGAGUAACACGUGGGUGACCUGCCUUCGAGUGGGGGAUAACGUCCCGAAAGGGGCGCUAAUACCGCAUGACAUCCUGCGUUUGGAAACGCGGUGAUUAAAGCCGGGGAUCGCAAGACCUGGCGCUUGAAGAGGGGCCCGCGGCCGAUUAGCUAGUUGGUGGGGUAACGGCUCACCAAGGCAACGAUCGGUAUCCGGCCUGAGAGGGCGGACGGACACACUGGGACUGAGACACGGCCCAGACUCCUACGGGAGGCAGCAGGGGGGAAUUGGUCGCAAUGGGCGCAAGCCUGACGACGUAUCGCCGCGUGGAGGACUAAUAUCUUCGGGUCGUAAACUCCUUUCUAU